RNAcentral lists this ribosomal RNA (497 nucleotides) under uncultured bacterium. Its description in RNAcentral is "bacterial SSU rRNA". It matches the Rfam family "Bacterial small subunit ribosomal RNA", at positions 791 to 1294 of the family's 1533-position model. The record is from RNAcentral.
UAGUCCACGCUGUAAACGAUGAUUACUCGAUGUUGGCAAUACACAGUCAGCGUCCAAGCGAAAGUGAUAAGUAAUCCACCUGGGGAGUACGAUCGCAAGGUUGAAACUCAAAGGAAUUGACGGGGGCCCGCACAAGCGGUGGAGCAUGUGGUUUAAUUCGAUGAUACGCGAGGAACCUUACCAGGGCUUAAAUGCAGAACGACAGAGGUGGAAACACCUCCUUCUUCGGACGGACUGCAAGGUGCUGCAUGGUUGUCGUCAGCUCGUGCUGUGAGGUGUCGGGUUAAGUCCCAUAACGAGCGCAACCCCUAUUUCUAGUUGCUAGCAGGUAAUGCUGAGGACUCUAGAGAAACUGCCCGCGUAAGCGGAGAGGAAGGUGGGGAUGACGUCAAAUCAUCACGGCCCUUACGUCCUGGGCUACACACGUGCUACAAUGGUCGGUACAGAGGGAUGCUAUCUGGUGACAGAACGCAAAUCCUCAAAGCCGGUCUCAGUUC